GGUUCCAUUUCCGUUUCAAAAUGGCUUCUCAGCUGGUCGUUCCGUGUUCAAAACAUGCCGUAUUUCUACGGGGUUUCACAACAUCCGUUUCAACUGACGAUAUCAGGUAUUUUAUAAACAUAUUAGGCAAUUACACGUCGUUUUUCAGGAGCCGAUUAUGUCAAAUAACUUAAAUAUCAGCUCUGGAAUAAAUUUAAGCUGAGGGCGUUGGUCAACCAUUUCUGAAGAAAUUCUUAUUCAAUUAUUAAUUAAACGGUUCUACGCGUUACUAUUUCAGAAAAAUACGAUGGAUGGGGAUAAAAUAUUCUCUUGUAUCCGUUUCUCUUUAAAUUAUUCUUUUACAACAGAAGGUACAAAUGGUCCGGCUUUAAAAAAAAUUCAGUAAAAAUAAAAAUUUUUGUUAUGGUUGAAAGAGACAAAUUGAAGCGUAUUUGCUUUAGAAUUUUUGACUUGAACUCACGUUUUAUACUAGAAUGUUAAUUUUUCAGAAAAUUCUUCGAAGAAAAAACAGGAUGUCUACCAACAGUAGAAUUCAUGCGAGAUUCAGAAGACAAAAAUUUUCUGUAUUUGGCUUUAAGAUUCGAUAGUAAAAGCAUCGCUAAGUCAGUUAUCGAAAAAUUCGAUUCUACAGAUAUUCUUGGAUGUUUCGUUAAAAUCACUUAUUUUCGUGAUAUGAAAAAAGCCAGGGAAAAGGCUCAAGAGCUUUAUGAAAAAGGUUUGGGUCCUAGUCCACGUGAUUUAUUCAAUUCUGAAAUGAACGGCCCAAGAAGAGGCAUGUUCUACCGUAGAGGUAGAGGCAAUUUCAAACGUGGUAGAACUUCAUCUGGUAGUCACAACAAUUAUGAUUAUUCGGCUACCUAUUCGAAGGACACCAAAAGCAGUCGAUAUCAUUAUUCUUCAUCCAGAUCUAGAUCAAGAUCUCGGUCAAGAUCUCGCUCCAGAUCUAGGUCCAGAUCCAGGUCACGAUCAAGAUCUAGAACAUACAGUAGGAGUUUAACUCCAAGACGUAAGAGCAGUAGUUCUGAAUCUAUGAGAUCACGUUCGAGGUCGCCUGUAGAAAGAAAAAAGAAAAAGCACAAGAAGCAUCAUAGAAGUCCUAGCUCGGACUACGAUAGGCAUUCGAGCAGAGAUAAAAAUGAGAUACUACGUAAAGGAAAGCAAAAAAAACAGACAACUGAUGAUGCUGAAGAAGGAGAAUAUGCUAGUGCCGACAAUGCGAAUAUUCCUGAGAAUCACAAGACACUACUCAACAAAAAUGGAAAUUUUAUGUCGAUUUCGAAACAGGAUAAGAGUGUUCAUGGAGAUCAUGCCGUUUUGAAUAAUGAAGUAGCAGAAAUAUUUGGUUUACCCCCAGAAAAAUUAUCGCUUUUAAAGAAUAAAAAAGAGGAAAUUGAACAAUCAUACAGACAAGACUGUGAAACCUUCGCUGCUGUUGUGAAAAUGCUUAUCAGUAAAGAUUCAUCAUUGGAAGAAAAGUUGCAAAAUUCUCUUCGCGAAAAUCUUAAAGAAAUUGGACAAAGGUGUAUUCAAGAGCUAAAGGACUACAUUGACACUUUGAAGUCUGAUUAAUUUACUGUAUGCACGUUUGUGAUCAUUAUUUUUGUUGUACCGGUUUAUUACUUAAACUUAGACACAUAACUCCUAAGAUAUGAAUAAAAUACAAAAUUUAUAAAUAUUCAUAAUACACGUCAAAUAAAAAUAGUUCAUCCAAUAGAUGAAAACGUGGCAGGAA
Molecule: unclassified non-coding RNA, 1732 nt
Filed under: Dimorphilus gyrociliatus
Lineage: Eukaryota; Metazoa; Annelida; Polychaeta; Dinophilidae
Description: rRM domain-containing protein
Source: RNAcentral